RNAcentral lists this transfer RNA (66 nucleotides) under Pacris xizangensis. RNAcentral's name for it is "tRNA-Asn". The record is from RNAcentral. Lineage: Eukaryota; Metazoa; Arthropoda; Insecta; Orthoptera; Acrididae.
UUAAUUGAAGCCAAAAAGAGGCGUAUUACUGUUAAUAAUAUAAUUGAAUCUAUAAUUCCAAUUAAA